RNAcentral lists this ribosomal RNA (492 nucleotides) under uncultured bacterium. RNAcentral's name for it is "partial 16S ribosomal RNA". It matches the Rfam family "Bacterial small subunit ribosomal RNA", at positions 29 to 507 of the family's 1533-position model. The record is from RNAcentral.
AGUGAACGCUGGCGGUAGGCCUAACACAUGCAAGUCGAACGGCAGGACAGUAAGCGUUUGCUCUUACGGGUGGCGGGUGGCGGGCGAGUGAGGAAUACAUCAGAAUCUUCUUUUUCGUGGGGGAUAACGUAGGGAAGCUUACGCUAAUACCGCAUACGACCUACGGGUGAAAGCAGUGGAUCUUCGCACCUUGCGCGAUUCAAUGAGCCGAUGUCGGAUUAGCUAGUUGGCGGGGUAAGGGCCCACCAAGGCGACGAUCCGUAGCUGAUCUGAGAGGAUGAUCGGCCACACUGGAACUGAGACACGGUCCAGACUCCUACGGGAGGCAGCAGUAGGGAAUAUUGCGCAAUGGGCGCAAGCCUGAUCGAGCAAUACCGCGUGGGUGAAGAAGGCCUUCGGAUUGUAAAGCCCUUUUAUUGGGAAAGAAAAGCAGCAUGUUAAUCCCCGGCUGUUCUGACGGUACCCAAAGAAAAAGCACCGGCUAACUUCGUG